CAGCCGCCGCGGGAAUACAAAGGGUGCGAGCGUUAAUCGGAUUUACUGGGCGUAAAGCGUGCGUAGGCGGCUUCUUAAGUCGGAUGUGAAAUCCCUGAGCUUAACUUAGGAAUUGCAUUCGAUACUGGGAAGCUAGAGUAUGGGAGAGGAUGGUAGAAUUCCAGGUGUAGCGGUGAAAUGCGUAGAGAUCUGGAGGAAUACCGAUGGCGAAGGCAGCCAUCUGGCCUAAUACUGACGCUGAGGUACGAAAGCAUGGGGAGCAAACAGGAUUAGAUACCCCCGUAGUCCCUGUCUCUUAUAC
RNAcentral lists this ribosomal RNA (301 nucleotides) under uncultured bacterium. RNAcentral's name for it is "partial 16S ribosomal RNA". It matches the Rfam family "Bacterial small subunit ribosomal RNA", at positions 509 to 807 of the family's 1533-position model. The record is from RNAcentral.